Molecule: long non-coding RNA, 933 nt
Filed under: Equus asinus (donkey)
Lineage: Eukaryota; Metazoa; Chordata; Mammalia; Perissodactyla; Equidae
Description: lncRNA (ENSEASG00005029140.1)
Source: RNAcentral
GCCCUGCCGGUGCCAUCCUGCAGGACCGCCCGGCGCGGCCGAGUCUGGGCCGGCGGCGGCUGGGAAGCCAGGAGCGUUCUUAUCGGGCCUCGGACGACUUUACAAGCUAUUUCAAUGCCAUAAAAGUUUAUAGCCCUGCUUUAACUAGGGAGACUACAGUCGUGUACCGGAAACAAUUAGGGAAUAAAAUGAGGGAUAAUUAAAUGCCAAAAUUUGGGCCGCAGGUUUCACAAGUGCUGUAGGAAUUCGGGUGGAGGUUGACACUGCAAACGCACGUGAUCGCAGUCUUUCUGGCUAGGGGCAGAAACUGUGGCUUAUUCAUCCUUGUCUCACCUAUACCUUGCCCAAUGCCUGCUUCAGAAUAGACUCUGACUAUAAAAUAGGAUGAUACCUCCUUGGGUUAUGAUGAAGAUUAAGAAAGUUAAUAUAGGAAAACACUUUCUAAAGUUCCUAAUAUUCUGGAGGCUGGGAAGUCCAAGAUCAAGGCAGAUCCAGUGACUGGUAGCAGCUUUAUUAGUCUGUACUGGGGCACCAUAAUGCAGACAAGAAACACUUUGAAAUCUUUAAUGCUCCUGGUGAGAUGAGGAACAGCUCUGUGGCAUUGCCAGCGGCAGAGGAUAUCCAGUCCUUCCACAAAACAUACAACCAAAAACAAGGAAGGAAGAAAAGCCAAAGCCUAGGCAAGCUCACUGACGCCGCUCUCUGGCUGCCUUCCGUGUCCUCCUCUCCAACGGGUGUUCCGGCCCUUUCUCGUGCUGGAGUGGCCAGAUCUACGACUUCAGUUUGAACUUGGGGAGAAGUAGGUGGGAUCUCUGGCUUGCUUUGGCAUGAGACCCAGUUAGUAACAGAGUCCUUCCAGCUUUAAGCUCAGCUCAGUAGACCUCUCUCUGUGUUUGGGGAGACUCUCCAGGUAAUAAUAAAGGAUUAUUUUAC